RNAcentral lists this ribosomal RNA (625 nucleotides) under uncultured bacterium. RNAcentral's name for it is "bacterial SSU rRNA". It matches the Rfam family "Bacterial small subunit ribosomal RNA", at positions 704 to 1328 of the family's 1533-position model. The record is from RNAcentral.
GAACACCAGUGGCGAAGGCGACUUACUGGGCCGUAACUGACGUUGAUGCGCGAAAGCGUGGGGAGCGAACAGGAUUAGAUACCCUGGUAGUCCACGCCGUAAACGAUGAGUGCUAGGUGUAGCGGGUAUCGACCCCUGCUGUGCCGGAGUUAACACAAUAAGCACUCCGCCUGGGGAGUACGGCCGCAAGGUUGAAACUCAAAGGAAUUGACGGGGGCCCGCACAAGCAGCGGAGCAUGUGGUUUAAUUCGAAGCAACGCGAAGAACCUUACCAGGUCUUGACAUCGAGGCAAAGCCGUAGAGAUACGGUGUUCAGCAAUGAGGCCGAAGACAGGUGGUGCAUGGUUGUCGUCAGCUCGUGUCGUGAGAUGUUGGGUUAAGUCCCGCAACGAGCGCAACCCUUAUUGUCAGUUACUAACGGGUAAAGCUGAGGACUCUGACGAGACUGCCGGGGACAGCUCGGAGGAAGGUGGGGACGACGUCAAAUCAUCAUGCCCCUUAUGACCUGGGCUACACACGUGCUACAAUGGUGGUUACAGAGAGGAGCGAGCCCGCGAGGGGGAGCGGAUCUCAAAAAAGCCAUCUCAGUUCGGAUUGUGGGCUGCAACCCGCCCACAUGAAGUUG